RNAcentral lists this non-coding RNA (45 nucleotides) under Schistosoma mansoni. The record is from RNAcentral. Lineage: Eukaryota; Metazoa; Platyhelminthes; Trematoda; Strigeidida; Schistosomatidae.
AUCUAGCUGACGAGUACCAAAUAGGACGAAACGCGCGUCCUGGAU